AUCUUUUUAGUACAAUAAGUAUAUGUGGCUUCCAACCUCAUGACCUUGGUGAAAACCCAAGAAAAGAUA
This 69-nucleotide transfer RNA is filed under the name Albatrossia pectoralis (giant grenadier). RNAcentral describes it as "tRNA-Gly". It matches the Rfam family "tRNA". From Rfam's summary of the family: Transfer RNA (tRNA) molecules are approximately 80 nucleotides in length. Their secondary structure includes four short double-helical elements and three loops (D, anti-codon, and T loops). The record is from RNAcentral. Lineage: Eukaryota; Metazoa; Chordata; Actinopteri; Gadiformes; Macrouridae.